GGUUAAGCGACUAAGCGUACACGGUGGAUGCCCUGGCAGUCAGAGGCGAUGAAGGACGUGCUAAUCUGCGAAAAGCGUCGGUAAGGUGAUAUGAACCGUUACAGCCGGCGAUGUCCGAAUGGGGAAACCCAGUGCAAUUCGUUGCACUAUCGUUUGAUGAAUACAUAGUCAAACGAGGCGAACCGGGGGAACUGAAACAUCUAAGUACCCCGAGGAAAAGAAAUCAACCGAGAUUCCCCCAGUAGCGGCGAGCGAACGGGGAGCAGCCCGGAGUCUGAAUCAGCUUGUGUGUUAGUGGAAGCGUCUGGAAAGUCGCAGGGUACAGGGUGAUACUCCCGUACACUAAAACACACAGGCUGUGAACUCGAAGAGUAGGGCGGGACACGUGGUAUCCUGUCUGAAUAUGGGGGGACCAUCCUCCAAGGCUAAAUACUCCUGACUGACCGAUAGUGAACCAGUACCGUGAGGGAAAGGCGAAAAGAACCCCGGCGAGGGGAGUGAAAAAGAACCUGAAACCGUGUACGUACAAGCAGUAGGAGCCCACUUGUUGGGUGACUGCGUACCUUUUGUAUAAUGGGUCAGCGACUUAUAUUCUGUAGCAAGGUUAACCGUAUAGGGGAGCCGCAGGGAAACCGAGUCUUAACUGGGCGUUAAGUUGCAGGGUAUAGACCCGAAACCCGGUGAUCUAGCCAUGGGCAGGUUGAAGGUUGGGUAACACUAACUGGAGGACCGAACCGACUAAUGUUGAAAAAUUAGCGGAUGACUUGUGGCUGGGGGUGAAAGGCCAAUCAAACCGGGAGAUAGCUGGUUCUCCCCGAAAGCUAUUUAGGUAGCGCCUCGUGAAUUCAUCUUCGGGGGUAGAGCACUGUUUCGGCUAGGGGGUCAUCCCGACUUACCAACCCGAUGCAAACUACGAAUACCGAAGAAUGUUAUCACGGGAGACACACGGCGGGUGCUAACGUCCGUCGUGAAGAGGGAAACAACCCAGACCGCCAGCUAAGGUCCCAAAGUCAUGGUUAAGUGGGAAACGAUGUGGGAAGGCCCAGACAGCCAGGAUGUUGGCUUAGAAGCAGCCAUCAUUUAAAGAAAGCGUAAUAGCUCACUGGUCGAGUCGGCCUGCGCGGAAGAUGUAACGGGGCUAAACCAUGCACCGAAGCUGCGGCAGCGACACUAUGUGUUGUUGGGUAGGGGAGCGUUCUGUAAGCCGUUGAAGGUGGCCUGUGAGGGUUGCUGGAGGUAUCAGAAGUGCGAAUGCUGACAUAAGUAACGAUAAUGCGGGUGAAAAACCCGCACGCCGGAAGACCAAGGGUUCCUGUCCAACGUUAAUCGGGGCAGGGUGAGUCGACCCCUAAGGCGAGGCCGAAAGGCGUAGUCGAUGGGAAACAGGUUAAUAUUCCUGUACUUGGUGUUACUGCGAAGGGGGGACGGAGAAGGCUAUGUUGGCCGGGCGACGGUUGUCCCGGUUUAAGCAUGUAGGCGGAUGUUCCAGGUAAAUCCGGAACGUUAUUAACGCUGAGGUGUGAUGACGAGGCACUACGGUGCUGAAGUGACAAAUGCCCUGCUUCCAGGAAAAGCCUCUAAGCAUCAGGUAACAUCAAAUCGUACCCCAAACCGACACAGGUGGUCAGGUAGAGAAUACCAAGGCGCUUGAGAGAACUCGGGUGAAGGAACUAGGCAAAAUGGUGCCGUAACUUCGGGAGAAGGCACGCUGAUAUGUAGGUGAAGUGGUUUACCCAUGGAGCUGAAAUCAGUCGAAGAUACCAGCUGGCUGCAACUGUUUAUUAAAAACACAGCACUGUGCAAACACGAAAGUGGACGUAUACGGUGUGACGCCUGCCCGGUGCCGGAAGGUUAAUUGAUGGGGUUAUCCGUAAGGAGAAGCUCUUGAUCGAAGCCCCGGUAAACGGCGGCCGUAACUAUAACGGUCCUAAGGUAGCGAAAUUCCUUGUCGGGUAAGUUCCGACCUGCACGAAUGGCGUAAUGAUGGCCAGGCUGUCUCCACCCGAGACUCAGUGAAAUUGAACUCGCUGUGAAGAUGCAGUGUACCCGCGGCAAGACGGAAAGACCCCGUGAACCUUUACUAUAGCUUGACACUGAACACUGGUCCUUGAUGUGUAGGAUAGGUGGGAGGCUUUGAAGUGUGGACGCCAGUCUGCAUGGAGCCAUCCUUGAAAUACCACCCUUUAAUGGCUGGUGUUCUAACGUGGGCCCGUAAUCCGGGUUGCGGACAGUGUCUGGUGGGUAGUUUGACUGGGGCGGUCUCCUCCUAAAGAGUAACGGAGGAGCACGAAGGUCAGCUAAUCCUGGUCGGACAUCAGGAGGUUAGUGCAAUGGCAUAAGCUGGCUUGACUGCGAGCGUGACGGCGCGAGCAGGUGCGAAAGCAGGUCAUAGUGAUCCGGUGGUUCUGAAUGGAAGGGCCAUCGCUCAACGGAUAAAAGGUACUCCGGGGAUAACAGGCUGAUACCGCCCAAGAGUUCAUAUCGACGGCGGUGUUUGGCACCUCGAUGUCGGCUCAUCACAUCCUGGGGCUGAAGUAGGUCCCAAGGGUAUGGCUGUUCGCCAUUUAAAGUGGUACGCGAGCUGGGUUUAGAACGUCGUGAGACAGUUCGGUCCCUAUCUGCCGUGGGCGCUGGAGAAUUGAGGGGGGCUGCUCCUAGUACGAGAGGACCGGAGUGGACGCAUCACUGGUGUUCGGGUUGUCAUGCCAAUGGCAUUGCCCGGUAGCUAAAUGCGGAAGAGAUAAGUGCUGAAAGCAUCUAAGUACGAAACUUGCCCCGAGAUGAGUUCUCCCUGACUCCUUGAGAGUCCUGAAGGAACGUUGAAGACGACGACGUUGAUAGGCCGGGUGUGUAAGCGCAGCGAUGCGUUGAGCUAACCGGUACUAAUGAACCGUGAGGCUUAACCUU
RNAcentral lists this ribosomal RNA (2907 nucleotides) under Klebsiella pasteurii. Its description in RNAcentral is "23S ribosomal RNA". It matches the Rfam family "Bacterial large subunit ribosomal RNA". Lineage: Bacteria; Pseudomonadati; Pseudomonadota; Gammaproteobacteria; Enterobacterales; Enterobacteriaceae. The record is from RNAcentral.